Molecule: long non-coding RNA, 1930 nt
Organism: Oryzias latipes (Japanese medaka)
Lineage: Eukaryota; Metazoa; Chordata; Actinopteri; Beloniformes; Adrianichthyidae
Source: RefSeq, a predicted model, not a curated record
UGGUGCAGAAGGUGGCUGGUGAGGACCAGGCCUGCCUGCAUGGAGCCCUUCCAGAAACACAGUAACCUUCCAACGAAGCUAUGAGGAGGUGUUCAAUUUCAUCCAAGCUGGCAGCGCCUCUGACAGAAAGAGAAAAUUAACGUGAAGCGGAUCUGCCACCUUCCACUCUGAGCCUCAAACCACACAUUCUGUGACAAGUUUCGGUGGGUAACGAGCUGAACUGAAUUUGCACAGCCGCCUGCGGAGAGAGGAGCUGCUCCGGAACAGGGAAAGGUGCUGCAAUCAGAUGUUUUGUUGUUAACUGAGAAUAUCCGGCAGUCGAGACUGCUGCUGAUUAAUGUGCAGCAGGUGCUGGGUGUCUAGACUUGGAGAGAGAAGCACACACUUGAGUAAUUGACAGUGCAGGUGCAUCUUGGGCUUUAGCCAGCAUUUGGGCCCAGUGCAGCGUGUUUUAGCUGCGCAACAUGACAUUUCCAGGACUUGCGCAUCAAAAUCAAGUGGUUCCAAUUAAAAGAACUGUCAGAGAAAACGGUCUUCCUCAUUCUCCAGUAAUUGUUCUUCUCAACCACGAGGAUGGCUACCCUUCAUCCCGAGAGUUUAGCCUAGCCUUUGACCGCAACAUCUCCACUGUCUCACCACAACAACCCAGCUCUGGACGCUUACCAAAACUUCCACCUGCCAGAACUCUGAGGGUGGUUCAUGACUGAAUAAAUUCUAGCAGAUCUGCAGGGCUUUCCCAGCUGAUGAUGGAAGACGUUCAGGGUUUUAUUGGUCCCUUUUUGUCCUGCAGCAGACUCGUGACCUGUUAAGGCUUUUCCCCUGUCUUUGACCAACUGUAGCUGGGAUAGGCUCCAGCAACCCUGUCACCCCCAAAAGAUGACUCAGCGGGUUCAGACGAUGACCGGAUGGAAGUAUGAUACCUAUCCUUUUUGCCAUGAAGCUGAGGAUGGAUCUACAAAGAUGUAAUUGGUCACAUCAGGGAUGAGGAGAACGAGAAAUACAGGUGGAAUGUAAUGGGAAAACAUAAAAGAAAGCCCAAAGCUCCAAGAAGCCCAUAAACGUAAAGAUCCAGACUGACUUCAGCACAUAAAAAAGAGGAGAGAACGGGCUACUGUAUGGGAGAGGUCAUGGUUCAAGCGUCUGUGAGUUUUACGCUCUGCUGAACCAUAACUUUUGACUCCAUUCUAAAAGGAGCUGUCUUUCCGUUUGACAAAUGGAAACAAGUCAACAAGAACAAAAAAAUUUAUUUAGGCUUCACAAAAAAGUAAUGAGUUCAGAACAAUGUUAAUGUGACAGAGUGUAAAAAUAAACUAAUACAAGAAAUUUCUGAUUUUUAAAGAAAUUAUUUUUCUCUCAGUUAAAAUCUGCCUAUGAUGCACAUCACAGACCUCGCAUCUUUUAAGUGGGCCAACUUCCAGAAUCUGUGACGGACAAAUCCUUCCUCUGUUGCUGGUAAAGCUGCCUCCCCGGUGAAUCUGUUGCACCACUGGCGCCUGCAUUAGAGCAAAACAAAUCCCAGCUGCUUUGAAAAUAAUUAGGUAAAGGAUCAAGCGCAGCAGGGCCGUCUCCUGGCCUGGCGCUGCGGAGGAGACAGGUGCCACCAGCGGCCUAAGCCACUGAAGCCAGGACCUCAUAGUACAGAGCGAGAGGGGAACUACUGCCAGUCUCAAUCAAACAGAAUAAAGAGCCUGAGUGUGUCAGGCAGCACUGGGGUCAUGUUUGGAUUGUUGCCGCCAGUUCAAUGAAUCUUUAGCGAUUUUUAACUCCAUCAAAGUACCAAAGUGAUUUACAUUGAGGAUUCUGGAAGUUCUGGAAGAGAAAGUUGCAGAUCAAUGUAAUUGAAACAUGUUUGCAUCUAUGGAAUAUUUAAAAUAAUUUUCAUACAUUUUAAGUAAAAUAAUACUUGAUUUUGGUUAAAAAAUAAAAAAGA